Vespula vulgaris is the source of this 918-nucleotide long non-coding RNA. RefSeq lists it as uncharacterized. The transcript has 3 exons. NCBI's taxonomy places the organism in Eukaryota, Metazoa, Arthropoda, Insecta, Hymenoptera, Vespidae. The record is from RefSeq and is a predicted model, not a curated record.
CCGUAACGUAUCAAAUAGAUCUGUGACGUCACAGUUGAUAGAAACAACGCCGUAAUUUCUGUCACAGGUCCGUGACGUCACAGAUGGUCGAAACAACGCCGUAAUUUCUGUCACAGGUCCGUGACGUCACAGGUGAUAGAAAAACAACGCCGUAACGGCUCUAAUAGAUCUGUGACGUCACAGAUGAUAGAAAAGCAACGCCGUAACUCCUGUCACAGGUCCGUGACGUCACAGAUGAUAGAAACAACGCCGUAAUUUCUGUCACAGGUCCGUGACGUCACAGAUGGUCGAAACAACGCCGUAAUUUCUGUCACAGGUCCGUGACGUCACAGGUGAUAGAAAAACAACGCCGUAACGGCUCUAAUAGAUCUGUGACGUCACAGAUGAUAGAAAAGCAACGCCGUAACUCCUGUCACAGGUCCGUGACGUCACAGAUGAUAGAAACAACGCCGUAAUUUCUGUCACAGGUCCGUGACGUCACAGAUGAUAGAAACAACGCCGUAAUUUCUGUCUCAGGUCCGUGACGUCACAGAUGAUAGAAACAGCGCCGUAAUUUCUGUCACAGGUCCGUGACGUCACAGAUGAUAGAAACAACGCCGUAAUUUCUGUCACAGGUCCGUGACGUCACAGAUGAUAGAAACAACGCCGUAAUUUCUGUCUCAGGUCCGUGACGUCACAGAUGAUAGAAACAACGCCGUAAUUUCUGUCACAGAUCCGUGACGUCACAGAUGAUAGAAAAACAACACCGUAACGUAUCUAAUAGAUCUGUGACGUCACAGAUGGUCGAAACAACGCCGCAAUUUCUGUCACAGGUCCGUGACGUCACAGAUGGUCGAAACAACGCCGUAAUUUCUGUCACAAGUCCGUGACGUCACAGAUGAUAGAAACAACGCCGUAAGUUCUGUCACAGGUCCGUGA